CUGCUGGAGAAGAUGAGAAGGACUUGGGGAGCCCAGACCUUGCAGAGGGUCUCAGGACACAGAGCCGUGUGGGAGUCUCCACCGUGGCCUGGGCUCCUCUCCUUCUCCCUCUCCUCAUUCACUGCACAGGGUCUCUGGUCCAGUUUGUGCUGACUCAGCCAUCUGCAAAGUCUGAGUCUGUGGGGAAUACGGUCACCAUCUCCUGCACUGGAGGCAGCAAUAAUGUUGGGCGUGGAUACACAGGCUGGUUGCAGCAUUUUCCUGGCAGUACCCCCAAACUUCUCAUUUAUGAUGACAGUAAUAGGCUCUCAGGGGUCCCAGCCCGUUUCUCAGGCUCUAGGUCAGGGAACACGGCCACCCUGAGCAUCUCUGGACUCCAGCCUGAGGAUGAGGCUGACUAUUACUGUGCAUCCUGGGACAGCAGCAUCAAUGCCACACAGUGCUCCAGGCCAGUGGGGAAGUGA
Orycteropus afer afer is the source of this 464-nucleotide non-coding RNA. Lineage: Eukaryota; Metazoa; Chordata; Mammalia; Tubulidentata; Orycteropodidae. The record is from the annotation of a RefSeq genome assembly.